RNAcentral lists this small RNA (545 nucleotides) under Pongo abelii (Sumatran orangutan). RNAcentral's name for it is "processed transcript". Lineage: Eukaryota; Metazoa; Chordata; Mammalia; Primates; Hominidae. The record is from RNAcentral.
AGCUAGGACUGCAGGGAGGGGUGUGAAGCCAGCCACACAGGCGGGGCCCUGGGAAACGCCACCCCAGUGACCAUUACCCCGUGGGCCUCCCUGGGUCUCCCCGCCAAGACCUGCAACAACGUGUCCUUCGAGGAGAGCAGGAUAGUCCUGGUCGUGGUGUACAGCGCAGUGUGCACGCUGGGGGUGCCGGCCAACUGCCUGACUGCGUGGCUGGCGCUGCUGCAGGUACUGCAGGGCAACGUGCUGGCCGUCUACCUGCUCUGCCUGGCACUCUGUGAGCUGCUGUACACGGGCACGCUGCCGCUCUGGGUCAUCUAUAUCCGCAACCAGCACCGCUGGACCCUGGGCCUGCUGGCCUGCAAGGUGACCGCCUACAUCUUCUUCUGCAACAUCUACGUCAGCAUCCUCUUCCUGUGCUGCAUCUCCUGUGACCGCUUCGUGGCCGUGGUGUACGCGCUGGAGAGCCGGGGCCACCGCCGCCAGAGGACCGCCAUCCUCAUCUCCGCCUGCAUCUUUAUCCUCGUCGGGAUCGUUCACUACCCAGU